CCAGCAUCUGCUAAAAUCCUGGUGCCCGCUUCGUCCCCGCUCAGCACGCAGGAGCUGCAGGGAUUUGAGGAGGAUGAGAUUAGUGUUUUCUGCUGCACGAUGUCAGCUGAGGGAUGAGAACGGCGCACCGAGAGGAGGAGAGCUUCUGUGGGUGAAGACCAUCCCUUUCAAACGCGAAGCACAGCAAGUCCAAACCAGCACGUUUCCCCUUCUCCUUGGGGAUCAGGCUGCAGUAGUGAAGAGACAAAUGGAGCCAGUCCCCGGUGCUAAACUACAAAACCACAGGCUUCAGCAAAGCCCUUCAAGCCAGUCCGUCCCCCAGCAGUGUCGCUGCCCCUCGCUUUUGACUGAGGUCUGGAAAUAUCAGCAGAGGCACUGGUCUGAACCUGACUGCAGACAGCCAGCUGCCAGCUCUGGGCCAUGA
This 424-nucleotide long non-coding RNA is filed under the name Anser brachyrhynchus (Pink-footed goose). RNAcentral describes it as "lncRNA (ENSABRG00000020081.1)". Lineage: Eukaryota; Metazoa; Chordata; Aves; Anseriformes; Anatidae. The record is from RNAcentral.